AGAAUCAACGCUGGGCGGCGUGCCUAACACAUGCAAGUCGCACCGAGAAAGGGGAGCAAUCCCUGAGUAAAGUGGCGCACGGGUGAGUAACACGUGAAUCAUCUACCUCCGAGUGGGGAAUAACUGAGAGAAAUCUUAGCUAAUACCGCAUAACACUUACGAGUCAAAGCAGCAAUGCGCUUGGAGAGGAGUUCGCGGCAGAUUAGUUAGUUGGCGGGGGUAAUGGCCCACCAAGACGAUGAUCUGGUA
RNAcentral lists this ribosomal RNA (249 nucleotides) under uncultured bacterium. RNAcentral describes it as "partial small subunit ribosomal RNA". It matches the Rfam family "Bacterial small subunit ribosomal RNA", at positions 26 to 286 of the family's 1533-position model. The record is from RNAcentral.